RNAcentral lists this ribosomal RNA (2106 nucleotides) under Triticum aestivum (bread wheat). Its description in RNAcentral is "partial small subunit ribosomal RNA". The record is from RNAcentral. Lineage: Eukaryota; Viridiplantae; Streptophyta; Magnoliopsida; Poales; Poaceae.
AUGUGCCCCACCACCGUCCCGGUGACCGGCGCUGACAUGGACGACACCGUCCUUGCAAAGCUUCGUGCCUCGCGAGCCGCCAUCGUCUCGGUGCUCUCCGACGCUGCCGGGGCGGAAGCUGCCAUCGAUGAGGCCGGCGACCGCCUCACUGACCUCCUGUCCAGCGCCUCUUCGCCGUCCUCCUCCAACCUCCAGUCCAAGGCCGUGGCGGCGCGGGCACUGCGCGCGCGCAUCGACCGCGCCGUCGCCCCGGCCGAGCCACUCCUCGCGGCUCUGCGCCGGGUGUCUUCCCUCGCCGAGGAGGCCGCGCAGCUCCCGGAGAACCCGGCCGACACCGAGAGCGCCGUCGCCUUCGUCGACCGCGUGGACCAGAUGCGCGACGCCAUCGAGGACGUGGUGGCACGAGGGGACGAGGCCGUCCGGAGGGUGGAGGAGGCGGUCGGGUUCCUUGGCCGUACCACCACCAAAGCCGCCGGCCGCUGCCGGGUGCGGCGGCUCACCGAGGCGGCUUCCGCGCUGCGCGCUGUGUACGAGACGGAGGCGGAGGCGAUGCGCUUCGAGGGCCCGCUCGACGAGGCGCUGCUCGGCCUCCAGGAUCUCUUCGAGGCGGUCCUGCUCAGGCUCAAGCACGCCGCGCCUGCGGACGAUGCCGGCGCCGUGGGCGACACGGACGAGUAUGAACUCGGCACGGACGACGAGGUGGACGCCGCCGCGAGGAUGGCGAAGACGCUGGCCGGCAACGACUGCCUGGACAUCUGCGUCGACAUCUACGUCAAGGCGAGGUACAGGAGAGCGGCCAAGGCGAUGAUGCGGCUGGACCCGGCGUACCUCAAGGCUUACACGGCCGAGGCCAUCGACGGCAUGGAGUGGGAGGCGCUGGAGUCCUCCAUGGCGCUGUGGAGCCCGCACUUCCACGUGGCCAUCGCCUCCGUGCUCACGGCGGAGCGGCGGCUGUGCGCGCGGGUGCUCGCGCACCUCCCGCCGGCGGUCUGGCCCGAGUGCUUCGCCAAGAUCGCCGCGCGCAUCGUGGCCGCGUUCUUCCGCUUCGCCGACGGCGUGGUCGCGGCCGAGCGGGAGCCGCAGAGGCUGUUCAAGCUGCUCGACAUGUUCGACGCGGUGGCACGGGAGAGGGACCGCCUCGACGCGCUCUUCUCCGGCGAGUCGGCCACGCUGGUCGCCAUCCGUGAGCGAGCGAGCGAGGUGGAGCGCGCCCUCGCCCGUGCCGCGGCCGGCGUGUUCUACGAGUUCGGCCUCCGCGUUGAGACGCACUACAUCGCCGGCGCCGGCGCCGGGACCGACGCCGUGCACGUGCCCAAGAUCGUCCGCUACGCCGUGAACUACCUGAAGUGCCUCGCGUCCGACGACUACCGCGGGCUCAUGGACACCGCGCUGCGAGCGGAGCGCGAGCGCGGCGGCGCCGGCGACGGCGAUGAGGACGGGGGCGAAGCGGAGGGCGGAGGAGGCCGCGCGGCGCUCGCGGAGGCGGCGUCGAACGUGCUGGAGGCGCUGCACCGGCACGUGGAGGCGGCCCGCAAGGUGUGCGCGGACGCGGUGGCGGGGCACGUCAUGGCCAUGAACGCGUACUGGUACAUAUACAUGCGCACCCGGGGCAGCGACCUGUCGAAGCUGAUCGGCGAGGAGCCCAUUAAGCGGCGGUACAAGACCUCGGCCGAGGAGGCGGCGUGGGAGUACCAGGACGCGGCGUGGAGCCCGCUGGUCCGGCUCCUCGGCGGCAGCGGCGGCAAGGCGUGGCCGGCCGACGAGGCGCGGGAAAAGGCGGCGGCGUUCGCCGGCGUGCUGGAGGAGAGGGUGAGGAAGCACGGGGCGGAGUACAAGAUCCCGGACGGCGACCUACGGGCGCAGAUCAAGGCCGCGGUGACCAAGGCGGUGCGCGGCGCGUACGCCGGGUUCGUGAAGGCGAACGAGAAGGCGGUGGCUGGCGGGAGGCGGGAGCUCCUGCAGGUGGACGUCGUCGAGAGCAUGGUGAGGCGGGUGUUCGAGGAGAUGGGCGACGGUGAAGCCGGCGGCAAGGGCAUGGGCCGGACGAGGAGCAGCGGCCGGGUACGGCGGGAGAGCGGCAACAUCGACGGGUUCGAGGCCAACUAA